This 1018-nucleotide ribosomal RNA is filed under the name uncultured bacterium. Its description in RNAcentral is "bacterial SSU rRNA". It matches the Rfam family "Bacterial small subunit ribosomal RNA", at positions 357 to 1376 of the family's 1533-position model. The record is from RNAcentral.
AGGAAUAUUGGUCAAUGGGCGAGAGCCUGAACCAGCCAAGUAGCGUGCAGGAUGACGGCCCUAUGGGUUGUAAACUGCUUUUAUAAGGGAAUAAAGUGAGAGUCGUGACUCUUUUUGCAUGUACCUUAUGAAUAAGGACCGGCUAAUUCCGUGCCAGCAGCCGCGGUAAUACGGAAGGUCCGGGCGUUAUCCGGAUUUAUUGGGUUUAAAGGGAGCGUAGGCCGGAGAUUAAGCGUGUUGUGAAAUGUAGGCGCUCAACGUCUGCACUGCAGCGCGAACUGGUUUCCUUGAGUACGCACAAAGUGGGCGGAAUUCGUGGUGUAGCGGUGAAAUGCUUAGAUAUCACGAAGAACUCCGAUUGCGAAGGCAGCUCACUGGAGCGCAACUGACGCUGAAGCUCGAAAGUGCGGGUAUCGAACAGGAUUAGAUACCCUGGUAGUCCGCACGGUAAACGAUGGAUGCCCGCUGUUGGUCUGAACAGGUCAGCGGCCAAGCGAAAGCAUUAAGCAUCCCACCUGGGGAGUACGCCGGCAACGGUGAAACUCAAAGGAAUUGACGGGGGCCCGCACAAGCGGAGGAACAUGUGGUUUAAUUCGAUGAUACGCGAGGAACCUUACCCGGGCUUGAAUUGCAGAGGAAGGAUUUGGAGACAAUGACGCCCUUCGGGGUCUCUGUGAAGGUGCUGCAUGGUUGUCGUCAGCUCGUGCCGUGAGGUGUCGGCUUAAGUGCCAUAACGAGCGCAACCCCUCUCCUUAGUUGCCAUCAGGUCAAGCUGGGCACUCUGGGGACACUGCCACCGUAAGGUGUGAGGAAGGUGGGGAUGACGUCAAAUCAGCACGGCCCUUACGUCCGGGGCUACACACGUGUUACAAUGGCAGGUACAGAGAGAUGGUGUUCUGCAAAGCGCAUCAAAUCCUUAAAGCCUGUCUCAGUUCGGACUGGGGUCUGCAACCCGACCCCAGGAAGCGGGAUUCGCUAGUAAUCGCGCAUCAGCCAUGGCGCGGGGAAUACGUUCCCG